AAGGAUUCCCCUAGUAAUGGCGAAUGAAGCGGGAACAGCUCAAAUUUGAAAUCUGCGUCGCUUGCGGCGCCGAAUUGUAGUUUCGAGAAGUGCUUUCUCGGCGGAUCCGACGCCGUCCAAGUUGUCUGGAACGGCACGUCGCAGAGGGUGACAACCCCGUUUGCGGCGGCGUCUGGCCGCUCACGAUGCGCUUUCCAAGAGUCGGGUUGUUUGGGAAUGCAGCCCAAAAUGGGUGGUAGACUCCAUCUAAAGCUAAAUAUUGGCACGAGACCGAUAGCGAACAAGUACCGUGAGGGAAAGAUGAAAAGCACUUUGAAAAGAGAGUUAAAUAGUACGUGAAACCGUUGAGAGGGAAACGAACGUGGCUGGCAAUGCGCUCGUCGAGAUUCAGCCGGACGAUGCGUCGGACGGGCGGUGUGCGGAUCCUUCGGACCGCGGCCGUCCGGCCUCGACGUCUCGACCGUCGCACUUCUCGCGGGCGCGCGUCAACGUCGGUCGGAACUGGGUUUUUCAAAGGCCCCGGCAAGGUGGGUUUGGUCGUUCGCGGCCGAAUCGUUUAUAGGCCGGCGUCGCAUGGCCCGGGUCCGUCCGAGGAGAGAGAGAUCUCUUCGGUGCGUGCCUUUCCCUUAGGGGAAGGGCUGGAGCUCCGUCGCUCCGGCCGGYGGUCGACUGCUGUGGACCGCGUGCGGUGCACGUGCGACUGUCGUCGGUCGCUGUGGCGGAUGUCUCGCACUACGCGCCCAAGACGUUGGCGACCUAACGGCCUCGUCCGACCCGUCUUGAAACACGGACCAAGGAGUCUAACACGUGCGCGAGUCUUCGAGUGAUCGAAACUCCCGGGCGCAAUGAAAGUGAAGGUGGCCUUCGGGCCGCCGAGGCGAGAUCCCUUCUCCUCCGGAGGGGGGCGCAUCGUCGACCGACCUAUUCCACUCUUGGGAAGGUUCGAGUAAUAGCGCAUCUGUUGG
RNAcentral lists this ribosomal RNA (965 nucleotides) under Antholoba achates. RNAcentral's name for it is "eukaryotic LSU rRNA". It matches the Rfam family "Eukaryotic large subunit ribosomal RNA", at positions 70 to 812 of the family's 3401-position model. The record is from RNAcentral. Lineage: Eukaryota; Metazoa; Cnidaria; Anthozoa; Actiniaria; Actinostolidae.